CGGCACCCGUGCUCCGUUAGACGGCCGGCCGGGACGCUCACUGCUCUUGCCGAGUCACUACUAAAUAACCACGUGUUUUUAUUUAUUUGAGGUAGUGUUUCACUAUGGAGACCAACUUGGCCUUGAACUAGCAACCUUCCUGCCUCUGCCUCCUGAGUGCUGGGACUUCUGGUGUGCGCCACCGUGCUGUUUUCCCCCGUGCCUUUGAAUAACCUACUCUUGAAAGUGGUAUGCUGUCGCUUUUGCCACGUUUUACUGGUCGCCCAGACCACCGCGGUAAAAGUGAGGCAGAAACUGCACAGGAGCUAGGGGGAGGAAGAUUGGGCCGAGUGGUUAGUGCAGAGGAGAGAAGAAUCAUGCCCAAGGGCCUGUCGUGUGAGAUACAGCCACUGCCCAAUGGAUGUGGAGCAUUCUCCCGUACUCCUGGUUCUGGUUCUGGUGAGAAGACCUACUUAAGUGACUUUCUUCAGCUCAUUGAAAGCAACAGAACAAAAGCCCUGCCCAUGCCAGAGAAGUUGGACCACAUUGAAGAAGGCUUUGUACACCUUAUCUUUGAAAGUCUUUUUCUAAGCAUGCCAUGGUAUGUUUUGACUGCAGUGCCAAAAAUCACAACUGGGCAAGCAUAACCUAUGGGAUGUUUCUUUUCAUCAAUUGCUCAGGGUCGCUUUGUGUUCACUAGAGUUUUACCUGGUGUGUUGAUGGUCGCAUGGAGAUGAGACACAGUUCCUUUGGUAGCGGGGAUGACAGUGCUGGUUCCUACUGGAAUAAGGAAAGCAGUCGAGACACCUAGACCACUGUUAAAAGCACAGGCUCUUCAGACAGCUGUGAGCUGCAGGACCAGGAAGCCAGAGCUACAGGCUGGAGUGCCUUCUGUACCCUCUUUUCCAGCACUCACUUCACACCCAGAGUGGCUGACAGGUGGUCAUCAAUGUGCAGAAGGCAGGUGGAGCCAGGACAUAAUUGGGCCAGCCUUGCAAGUCUGUUGCUAUCUGGGCUACAGUCAGGCAGGGCUUGGUGGAAGCCAUCAGCUGCUUUGAGGUUCUGUUCCAGCUCUCGGUAAAUGGUUUUGUAGCUAAAUCACAGAUAGAAAGACAGCUCUAUAAAAGGCAGGGCCCGGGCACCAUUCCUCACAGCCACAGCAGGCCCUGUAGCCUGCAUGAUGGUCUCUGCAGCCUGCACAGUUUCCCAGACACAGGACAGGGACGCCAUUCCCUGGUGCCACAUGUACAGAUGCAGACACCAUCCUCUAGAACCCGGGACCCACCCAAAUAAGCUUCGUAUCAAACCAGGCGGCACACUGAGACUUGCCCUGCAUCAAAUCCUGGGUGUGCUCUGUGGGUGCAACUGUGCAGUCCCACUGGGUCAGGUCAUGUUGAGGAAGAAGCCUUGAGAGGAGAAUGUCAGAGUGCCUCCUGCUCCAUUCCUCUCA
This is a long non-coding RNA of Peromyscus eremicus (cactus mouse), 1429 nucleotides long. RefSeq lists it as uncharacterized. The record is from RefSeq and is a predicted model, not a curated record. The transcript has 4 exons. NCBI's taxonomy places the organism in Eukaryota, Metazoa, Chordata, Mammalia, Rodentia, Cricetidae.